AUUGAACGCUGGCGGCAGGCCUAACACAUGCAAGUCGAGCGGAUCGGCGGACGGGUGAGUAAUGCCUAGGACUCUGCCAGGUAGUGGGGGAUACGCUCCGGAAACGGGCGCUGAUACCACAUACUAUCAGAUGAGCCUAUGUCGGAUUAGCUAGUUGGUGGGGUAAAGGCCUACCAAGGCGACGAUCCGUAACUGGUCUGAGAGGAUGAUCCGUCACACUGUAACUGAGACACGGUCCAGAUGCCGACGGGAGGCAGCAGUGGGGAAUAUUGGACAAUGGGCGAAAGCCUGAUCCAGCCAUGCCGCGUGGGUGAAGAAGGUCUUCGGAUUGUAAAGCACUUUAAGUUGGGAGGCGUUACCAACAGAAUAAGCACCGGCUAACUGCGUGCCAGCAGCCGCGGUAAUAC
This 407-nucleotide ribosomal RNA is filed under the name uncultured bacterium. RNAcentral's name for it is "partial 16S ribosomal RNA". It matches the Rfam family "Bacterial small subunit ribosomal RNA", at positions 30 to 526 of the family's 1533-position model. The record is from RNAcentral.